AAACCAUGAUGUGGACAUCUCCUCAAAAAUUUCCCAAAGCACUCUCAUGUCUCGAAUAGAGAUUCAGAAUCAUAUUGUUGAAAUUUAGAGAUCUCUGUCAUUAGCCU
Molecule: small nucleolar RNA, 107 nt
Organism: Abrus precatorius (Indian licorice)
Lineage: Eukaryota; Viridiplantae; Streptophyta; Magnoliopsida; Fabales; Fabaceae
Source: RefSeq, a predicted model, not a curated record